Molecule: ribosomal RNA, 453 nt
Filed under: uncultured Porphyromonadaceae bacterium
Lineage: Bacteria; Pseudomonadati; Bacteroidota; Bacteroidia; Bacteroidales; Porphyromonadaceae
Description: bacterial SSU rRNA
Rfam family: Bacterial small subunit ribosomal RNA
Source: RNAcentral
ACGGGAGGCAGCAGUGAGGAAUAUUGGUCAAUGGACGGAGUCUGAACCAGCCAAGUCGCGUGAAGGAUGAAGGUUCUAUGGAUUGUAAACUUCUUUUGUCUGAGGGUAAAGUGCGGUACGUGUACCGUUUUGCAAGUAUCAGACGAAUAAGCAUCGGCUAACUCCGUGCCAGCAGCCGCGGUAAUACGGAGGAUGCGAGCGUUAUCCGGAUUUAUUGGGUUUAAAGGGUGCGUAGGCGGGAUGUUAAGUCAGCGGUGAAAGUUUGCGGCUCAACCGUAAAAUUGCCGUUGAAACUGGCGUUCUUGAGUGUAAACGAGGUAGGCGGAAUGUGACGUGUAGCGGUGAAAUGCUUAGAUAUGUCACAGAACCCCGACUGCGAAGGCAGCUUACCAGCAUACAACUGACGCUGAGGCACGAAAGCGUGGGUAUCAAACAGGAUUAGAUACCCUGGUA